AAAGGAAUAGACGGGGGCCCGCACAAGCGGUGGAGCAUGUGGUUUAAUUCGAUGCAACGCGAAGAACCUUACCAGGUCUUGACAUCUGCAGAACCCUGAUGAAAGUUGGGGGUGCCAUUAUAGGAGCUGCAAGACAGGUGGUGCAUGGUUGUCGUCAGCUCGUGUCGUGAGAUGUUGGGUUAAGUCCCGCAACGAGCGCAACCCUUGCUAUUAGUUGCUAACAGGUAGAGCUGAGCACUCUAAUGGGACUGCCUGUGACAAGCAGGAGGAAGGUGGGGAUGACGUCAAAUCAUCAUGCCCUUUAUGAUCUGGGCUACACACGUGCUACAAUGGGUGGUACAGAGAGAAGCGAAGCUGUGAAGCGGAGCGAAUCUCAAAAAGCCAUUCUCAGUUCGGAUUGUAGUCUGCAACUCGACUACAUGAAGUCGGAAUCGCUAGUAAUCGCGGAUCAGCAUGUCGCGGUGAAUGCGUUCCCGGGCCUUGUACACACCGCCCGU
This 497-nucleotide ribosomal RNA is filed under the name uncultured bacterium. Its description in RNAcentral is "bacterial SSU rRNA". It matches the Rfam family "Bacterial small subunit ribosomal RNA", at positions 903 to 1397 of the family's 1533-position model. The record is from RNAcentral.